UACGUAGGGCGCGAGCGUUGUCCGGAAUUAUUGGGCGUAAAGAGCUCGUAGGCGGCCUGUUGCGUCUGCUGUGAAAUCCCUGGGCUCAACCUGGGAAUGGCAGUGGAUACUGGACGGCUAGAAUGCGGUAGAGGGUAGUGGAAUUCCCGGUGUAGCAGUGAAAUGCGUAGAGAUCGGGAGGAACACCAGUGGCGAAGGCGGGUCUCUGGGCCGAUACUGACGCUGAGGAGCGAAAGCGUGGGGAGCGAACAGG
RNAcentral lists this ribosomal RNA (253 nucleotides) under uncultured bacterium. Its description in RNAcentral is "partial 16S ribosomal RNA". It matches the Rfam family "Bacterial small subunit ribosomal RNA", at positions 524 to 776 of the family's 1533-position model. The record is from RNAcentral.